RNAcentral lists this ribosomal RNA (253 nucleotides) under uncultured bacterium. RNAcentral describes it as "partial 16S ribosomal RNA". It matches the Rfam family "Bacterial small subunit ribosomal RNA", at positions 524 to 776 of the family's 1533-position model. The record is from RNAcentral.
UACGGGGGGAGCAAGCGUUGUUCGGAUUUACUGGGCGUAAAGAGCGUGUAGGCGGCUAUACAGGUCCGCUGUGAAAACUCGAGGCUCAACCUCGAGACGUCGGUGGAAACCGUAUGGCUAGAGUCCGGAAGAGGAGAGUGGAAUUCCUGGUGUAGCGGUGAAAUGCGCAGAUAUCAGGAAGAACACCCGUGGCGAAGGCGGCUCUCUGGGACGGUACUGACGCUGAGACGCGAAAGCGUGGGGAGCGAACAGG